RNAcentral lists this RNase P RNA (321 nucleotides) under Crocodylus porosus (Australian saltwater crocodile). RNAcentral describes it as "Nuclear RNase P (ENSCPRG00005006088.1)". It matches the Rfam family "Nuclear RNase P". From Rfam's summary of the family: Ribonuclease P (RNase P) is a ubiquitous endoribonuclease, found in archaea, bacteria and eukarya as well as chloroplasts and mitochondria. The record is from Rfam by way of RNAcentral. Lineage: Eukaryota; Metazoa; Chordata; Crocodylia; Crocodylidae.
UCAGAAGGAAGCUCACCACUGAGAUCACUUGCUGAGUGCUGGUCACUCCCUUCUCUCUGCCUCUGGGAAGGUCUGAGACAAGAGCCAGCAGCUGCCCUUGCAAGGCACACCCUGAUGCAGGGGGAUGAGGUACCAGGGAAGCUGGGCCCUACCUUGGGAGAGGCACAAGAAACCAAAGAACAAGGGUUUUGUUCCUUCUCUGUCCAUUCCCUGUGGAGUCUUUGAGAGAGGCUUGUGGCUGGCACUUCUGAGUCCAAUGGCAUGAGAUGAGGCCUGUGUCUCCUCCUGCUCACAACCCAGUUCAGACUAUUCUUUUUCUGA